This 597-nucleotide long non-coding RNA is filed under the name Numida meleagris (helmeted guineafowl). RNAcentral describes it as "lncRNA (ENSNMEG00000000091.1)". Lineage: Eukaryota; Metazoa; Chordata; Aves; Galliformes; Numididae. The record is from RNAcentral.
UCUGGAGUAAACCACAGCACCAAACAGCAGCGAGGACGACACUACUUGCCGAUGACAUUGCAGGCAUUGGGGAUGCAGAGGAGACAGUUCUGAGUUUCCUCUCAUAAAUCCAUGUUUGUCUUUCAUGUACAGGUCAAGAAAACCUAGUCUCCAUACUGUCGGAGAACUAUGAAGCUAACCUAAAGAAAUGCUGAAAGGGAGGGAGCUAAAGAAUUUAAGGAAUUCCAAGAAUUCUGAUAAAAUCAUGGCAUUUCUUGAACUUUCACAAAAGGAAACUUCCCAGACCUGAAGAAAACAUUGUUUUGGUAGAAUUCAAAGAAUCAUCCUGCUGACCUCCCAUCUCAAACAGUCCUGUGCAUAAUGCUGUAAUCCCUGCAAGCAGAUCAAUUAUCAGCUGGCAGAGAAUUUUUGCAGGCCCACAUAAAAUUGCAGGAGCUGUCUCAGUUGUUUGUCAACUCCAUCUUGUCUGAACACAGAGAAGAUCCCUCCUGUUUGCAUGCAGUGGCACUCUCUCUUCACACUGACAGUAUAAUCUGCUGUUCUUAAUAUUUGCUCAGUGCAACCUCCUAUGCAAGUCUAUUCUCCUUUGCUUCUGAC